This 8194-nucleotide long non-coding RNA is filed under the name Homo sapiens (human). RNAcentral's name for it is "non-protein coding RBPMS-AS1:8". The record is from RNAcentral. Lineage: Eukaryota; Metazoa; Chordata; Mammalia; Primates; Hominidae.
ACACUGUGGGGCUGCGUCCGGGGCACGGGCCAUGCCUGAACCUUCUUCCACCGCCGCGCCCCGGGCCCGCGCCCCGCCGGCCGCCCGCACUGGGUCCCGCGUCGCCCCCGCCACCACACCGAGCCGCCCAGUACCUCCUCCUCCUGAAGGUUGGCCUCGCUCGGGGUGUUCUCCUUCUCGGCUUUGCCGCCGUUGUUCAUCUUCCCGGUCCUUCCUCGCCGGGCCGGGCAGGGCUGGGGCGCGGGGCUGGGCGAGGGCGCGCUAGCCCACUGGAGCCUUCCCCGGGCGCCGGGGCUCCCUCGGGCGGGCGCCGCGGGCUGUGGGGCUGGAGCUGGAGCCGGGGCAGUGGCUGUCGGGCUCGGGUUGGGCUGGGGCUCCCGCGGCGAGUCUGCGACGGCGGCGGCGGGCGACUCAGGAAGUGCAAGGGAGAGACGGGGCAGGGCGCGGGCCGGGAGCGGGGCACCGAGACAAUCGGGCCCCGGGAGGGCGACCUGGAGAGGGAGGGCGGGAGCCAGGGGAGGAAGGAAGAAGGAAGGAAGGAAGGAAGCAAAGGAUGGGGCGAGGACGCGCGUCCCAGGAGCAGAGCUGGGGGUCCGUACGGAGGAACUUCAGAGGCUGGAAGCACGCUUGAAAAAGAAAGGGGGCCUGGGCUUUGCACCAGCUUCAGGAUUGCGUACUUGUUUCCUCAUCCGUGAAAUGGGAGCAGCUGAAUGUGUCUCCUCGAGUUUUCGAGAAAAAUGAGGGUCUCACUUUGUUGCUCAGGCUGAGCUCGAGCUCCUGGCCUCAAGUGAUCCUCCUGCUUUUGGCCUCCCAAACUGAUGGGAUUACAACGUGGAGCCACCGUGUUAAACUCUUAGAUUUGACUGCUACAAAGGUAUAAAUGUGGAACUCCAUAUAUCAGUGGGUUCUGCCCCACUUCUUCCUCCCAGGAAUUCUCCAUCCCAGCCUGCUGCUCCUGUCUUGCACCGGGGAACAAACAUGUAUCCUGGAUGAAAAUAAACCAACUCUUGAAACUGCAACCCAAGACAUUCAGAAGAGAUAAGGCUACAGUGAAUGUGGAAACUUUGCACGUGUUUGGAUGUAUUGAUUGCCUUAACUGGCAGCUCUUUGCACUGCCAGCUUCCCUCAAUUACAUGAGGAACCACGAGGGGGCAAUGUCUUCCCGAGCAAUAAUAGCUGAGUGGUGGUCUUAGGACCCCGUGGUGGCCCAUGAUGCUAGCACUGUGUCUUUGGCCAUUCUUGCCUGUCAUGGAGCAUACUCCACAGAAGGGCAUGGUCUUCUUGGAUCCCGGCAUGGGCCCAACAAAAAUGACAAUGUAGUCAAUAGUUCCACUCAGACCUCACUUAGGAGCAGGUGAACUAUGUUGUGUGAUAUCAGGAUGCCCGGAGAACCUCUCCUAUCCCCACCCAGGGAAGCAUGGCUUAAUUCCAAAUAAAGAAUCUGAUUUCUUUGUCUUUAAGCCAAGCCAGGACUUUGUCCAUUGUUAAAAGUCAAAAAUCUCUGGGAUAAGAAACAAAAAUAAGUUCCAGGCGGGGCACGGUGGCUCAUGCCUGUAAUCCCAGCACUUUGGGAGGCCGAGGUGAGCCCAACACCUGAUGUCAGGAGUUCAAGACCAGCCUGGCUAACAUGGUGAAACACCGUUUCUACUAAAAAUACAAAAAAUUAGCUGGGUGUGGUGGCGCACGCCUAUAAUAGCAGCUACUUGGGAGGCUGAGGCAGGAGAAUUGCUUGAACCCGGGAGGCAGAGGUUGCAGUUAGCCGAGAUUGCACCAUUGCACUCCAGCUUGGGCAACAAGAGUGAAACUCUGUCACAAAAAAAAAUAAGUUCCAGGAGAGGAUCCUUGUCUGGCUUAUUCACUGUUGUAUUCCCAGCAUCUAGACAGUGCCCAACACAUAGGAGGCGCUCAGUUAUUUUUUAAUAAAUGAGCAUUUUAAGUCUGAUGGGUUACUGAUUCUCAGGCCUGAAUGUUAUUACUGGAUUUUUCCAAGAUCCAGCAGGAAGGACUAAAUCAGUGGAGAUGUCUUAGAACAGAUAGUCACAGCAAUGGCAUUAGGCAGGGUCUUGGCAGUGUUUUUUUUUGUUUUGUUUUUUGUUUUCUGAGAGUCUCGCUCUGUGGCCCAGGUGACAUUGUUUAAGCAAAUGUCUCACCCAGGCGAGAACUGUUCAAGCAAUUCUCCUGCCUCAGCUUCCCCAGUAGCUGGGACUACAGGUGCACACAACCACACCUGGCUAAUGUUUUUGUAUUUUUAGUAGAGACAGGGUUUCCUCAUGUUGGCCAGGCUGGUUGGUAUUGAACUCCCAAACUCAGGUGAUCCACCCACCUCAGCCUCCCAAAAUGCUGGGAUUACAGGCAUGAGCCACCGGCCUGGCAGUGGUCUUUAGUCAUGAUUUUGCAGGGGGGACCCUAGAUAGAGACCUUGUGCAGAAUGGAACAACUGAUAAGGUUUCAAACAGUAAAAGAUAAAAUCCCACCAUUGAGGCCGGGCACAGUGCCUCAUGCCUGUAAUCCUAGCACUUUGGGAGGCCAAGGCGGGCAGAUCACCUGAGGUCAGGAGUUUGAGACCAGCCUGGCAUGGUGAAACCCCAUUUUUGAAAAUACAAAAAUUAGCCAGGCGUGGUGGUGGGUGCCUGUAGUCCCAGCUACUCGGGAGGCUGAGGCAGGAGAAUCGCUUGAACCCGGGAGGCAGAGAUUGCUGUGAACCAGAUCACACCACUGUACUCCAGCCUGGGCGACAGGGAGACUCCAUCUCAAAAAAAAAAAAAAAUCACACCAUUGAAUUUGACAUAUCAGACAAUAAAAUCGACACUGAUGCAGGGAUGGCUAUACUAUAUAGUCAGUGGUGAGAGUGACAUUCAGGGUGUUUUCAGAAAAACAUAUGGGGUUGGGAUAAUAUGUCAAGAAAAGGGAGAUUUCCUGCUUUUUAUCCUUUUCAUGAAGAGUAGUUUAGAGUUAUUUGAAAGAGCAAUAAUGUAUUACCAAUAAAACUCAAGGAAAAUCUGUAAACAGACUUUUGCUAUUUAUAAAACUUUGUGAUUGAAGGCAAAGAGUUUGAAUUUGUGUGGGGGAGGAAAAUGUACCUUCAAUCAGGGUAUAAAUGAUAAUUACAGCUUGUUUAUGACUUUAAAGAAAGAUUCCAAAGUAAUAUCUCCUCAGUAGCAAUAGUUCUCAGGCAUCCUGAGAAUUAUAAGACCACAAAGGGAUUUUUUUUUUGAGACGGAAUUUCGCUGUAACCAAGGGAUUUUAAAUCCUGUAAUAGUUGUGCUGAAGACCAGAAAAGUCCGCUUUCUCCCCAGCCUAACACUCUACCUACUGUAUUGCCUGACCUUCGAGGUUACCUUGAAAGGGUAAUAUUGUAUACACCUGUAGUUUUUUACUACUCACUGCUGUUUCUCUGGCAGUGUUCAUUUCGAGGCUUGCCUUAAGAAAUCCAAACCUAUAAUUAUGUCUUAAAUGUUUGCCUUUGGGAACUGCAGACAUUAAAGGUCUAUUUUGAGGCGAUUUGCAUGGCAUGGGCUUUGUACCUAUGUUAGCUUUGCAGCAGAAAGCUGCAGUAUCUACCAUGUGUGUUGUGAUUGUCUAUUAACCCUUCGGCUGAGCCAAAGAAGUUAUUGAGGCCAGAGGGGCUGUAUUUUAUUGGUUUUUGUCAUCCUUGACACCUCUCUCUCCCUUACCUCGUGCCUGCUCACCUCCAGCUCCUCUCCAUCUUCCCCUGAUUUUUUUAUUAAUUUAUCAUUGUGGCAAAAGACACAUAACAUAAAAUUUACCUUCUUAACCACUUUGGUUUUUUGGGGUUUUUUUUGAGAUGGAGUGUUGCUCUGUUGCCCAGGCUGGAGUGCAAUGGUGCCAUCUUGGCUCACCACAACCUCCACCUCCCAGGUUCAAGAGAUUCUCCUGCUUCAGCCUCCUGAGUAGCUGGAACUACAGGCGUGUGCCACCAUGUCCAGCUAAUUUUUGUAUUUUUAGUAGAGAUGAGGUUUCACUAUGUUGACCAGGCUGGGUUUUCUUUUUUCUUUUUUUUUUUCUUUUUUUUUAGUGAUGGGCCUUCACUGUGUUGCCCAGGCUGGUCUCAGACUCCUGGGUUCAAGUGAUCCUCCCACCUCAGCCUCCCAAAGUGCUGAGAUUACAGGUAUGAGCCACUGCACCCAGCCUACUUGUUUGUUUUUCCAGAUUUCGUUCUGUUGCCCAGGCUGGAGUACAGUAGCAUGAUCAUAACUCACUGCAGCCUCGAACUCCUGGGCCCAAGCAAUCUUCCUGCCUCAACUUCCCGAGCAGCUGGGACUGCAGACUCUUGCCACCACACGCAGCUAAUUUUUAAAUUUUUUUCCCAGGCUGGUCUCAAACUCCUGCCUUCAAGCAAUCCUCCUGCCUCAGCCUCCCUAAGUGCUGAGAUUACAGACAUAAACCAUUUCACCUAAGCCUUCCAUUUGAACCAUUUUUAAGUGUAGUGUUAAGUGUAUUCACAUGGUUGUGCAACAGCCCCCUGACUUUCACCUCCUAAAGAAUUCUGAGGUUCACUGGCUUCCCUCUGAUCAUGAUCAGAGGCCCACAUGGAGGAGAAUCCAGGUGUUUGGCUUACAGCCCCAGCUGAGCUCUGCAGACAACCAGUAUCAAUUUGCCAGCCCUCUGAGUGAACUAUCUUGAGAGUGGUUGCUCCAGCCCUAGUUGAGCUGCCGCAGCUGAUACCAUCUGGAAGAGAGAUGAGCUUUCUGCAGCAAACCCUGCCCAAAUUGCAAAAUUGUUAGCAAAAAAAAAAAUGAAUGCUGUUGUUUUAAGUCACCACAUUUCAGUGUGGUUUGUAAUACAGCAAUAUAUAACUGAAACAUAAUUACAUACCUAGAAGCGGGAUAAUAGAAAUCAACAGGGUGAUUCCUACUGUAAUAGAAACCUAAAACACAUGGCAGGAGCUUUGGGAUCAGGUGGAGGAUGGAAGCUGGAAGAACCUUGAGGAGUCUGUUAUUGACAAAUACUAUUAAAGAACAGUGAGUGGGGCUGGCCGUGGUGGCUCACACCUAUAAUCCCAGCACUUUGGGAGGCAGAGGUGGGCCGAUCACCUGAGGUCAGGAAUUCGAGACCAGCCUGGUCAACACGGUGAAACCCUGUCUCUACUAAAAAUACCAAAAUUAGCCAGGCGUGGUGACGCGUGCCUGUAAUCCUAGCUACUGGGGAGGCUGAGGCAGGAGAAUUGCUUGAACCCAGGAGGCGGAAGUUGCAGUGAGCCAAGAUCGCACCACUGCCCUCCAGCUUGGGUGACAGAGAGAGACUCAGUCUCAAAAUAAAAUAAAAUAAAGAACAGUGAGGAUACUGUUAUUGCUGGCUGGAGAAAAGGGGGAUUGACUUAGGUAUUGGAAGAACAAUUAGCUAAACUACUCUGCAGUUAUGUGAAAGCUAGAGAAGGUACCUAGUGAACAUGUGGAUCUGGCUAUGGAGAUUUCUGGAUAGAAUGGUGAAAGGGUGGAAUGGUUCCUUUUGCAUGCCUGUGAUAUAGUACCAGAGAAGUGCAGUGAGCUAAAAAAGAAACUGUUCCAUUUUUCAUCAGAAUUUAGAAGAAGCAAUUAAAGAAGCCAGGACUUGCAGGAUUUGAAAUAAAACUACUUUUCAUUCCUAGUUCUCCAGAGGACAAAACUCUCAAAAUAAGAAAUGGCCUAGGGGCAAAAGUCAAAUCCCAGGUACUAUCAGGAAAACAUAGUCAUAAGUAAAGUUCAAGACAACAACAGGUGCAGCAGCUCACACCUGCAAUCCCAGUGCUUUGGGAAGCCAAGGUGGGAGGAUUACUUGAGGCCAAGAGUUUGGGAUCAACUUGGGCAACAUAGCAAGACUCCUCUGCAAAAAAAAAAAAAAAAAAAAAGAAAAAAGAAAAAACAACAAUUUUGAGACAGAAUCUCGUUCUGUCACCUGGUUGGGGUGUAGUGGCAUGAUCAUGGCUCACUAAAACCUCUGUCUCCUGGGUUCAAGCAAUUCUCAUGCCUCAGCCUCCCAGGUAGCUGGGAUUACAGGUACACACCACCAUGCUUGGCUAAUUUUUGUAUUUUUAGUAAAGAUGGGGUUUCACCAUGUUAGCCAGGCUGGUCUCAAACUCCUGGCCUUAAGUGAUCUGCUCACCUUAGCCUCCCAAAGUGCUGGGAUUACAGGUGUGAGCCACCAAACCCGGCCUCUGCAAAAAAUUUAAAAAUUAGCUGAACAUAGUGGCACAUGCCUAUAAUUCCAGCUAUUUUGGAGGCUGAGGCAGGAAGAUCACUUGAGCCCAGGAGUUUGAGGGUACAGUGAAUUAUGAUCAUGCCACUGCACUACAGCUUGGGCAACAGAGCAAGAACCUGGCUCUAAAAAAAAAAAAAAAUGCCCAGGUGUGGUGGCUCAGGCCUGUAAUCCCAGCACUUUGGGAGGCUGAGGCGGGCAGAUCUCGAGGUCAGAAGAUCGAGACCAUCCUGGCUAACAUGGUGAAACCCCGUCUUUACUUAAAAAAAUACAAAAAAAUUAGCCAGGUGUGGUGGUGGGCGCCUGUAGUCCCAGCUACUCAGGAGGCUGAGGCAGGAGAAUGACAUGAACCUGGGAGGCGGAACUUGCGGUGAGCCGAGAUGGUGCCACUGCACUCCAGACUGGGGGACAGAGAGAGACUCCGUCUCGGGGGAAAAAAAAGAAGAUAAGGAUGUAGCUAGAAGACACUGGGUAGGCAGCUUCUACAAUGGACCCCAGUGAUCCUUCCCUCCCGGUAUUCAAACCCUCUGUAAUCCCUUCCUUCAUGUGGGCUGGACUUUGCAACUUGCUCUUAAGGAAUACAGUGUGGCAAAAGUGAUGGAUAGCACCUCCAAGACUAGAUUUAAAAAGAGACGAUGGCUCAUGUCUUACAUGCCCUCUCUUGCUCUCUCACUUGCUGCCUUUGACCUGCCUUAUGGAGACGCUCAUGUGGCAAGGAACGAAGGCCUCCAGCCAAGAGCCACCAAGGAACUGGUUUUCAGUCCAACAACCAGCAAGGAGCUGAAUCCUGCCAACUACUGCAUGAGUAGACCUGGAAAUAGAUCUUCCCUAAGUGGACCCUUCACGUGAAACCUAUUAUGGACUGAAUGCUAGUGUCCUUCUGAAAUUCACAUAAAAUCCUAACCUCCAUUGUGAUAGUAUUAGGUAAGGCAUUUGGGAGGUAAUUAGGUUUAGAUGAGGUCACAAGUGUGGGGCCCCCAUAAUGGGGUUGGUGCCCUUAUAAGAGGAGAAAGAGGCUGGGUGUGGUGGCUGAUGCCUGGAAUCCCAACACUUCGGGAGGCCAAGGCAGGAGGAUUGCUUGAAGCCAAGAGUUUGAGACCAGCCUGGACAACACAGUGAGACCCCCAUUUCUAUGAAUAAAUAAAUAAAUUAGCCAGGCACGUGGCUCACUCCUGUCAUCCCAACACUUUGGGAGGCCAAGGCAGGAGAUUUCCUUGAGACCAGGAGUUCAAGAUCAGCCUGGGCAACGUAGUGGGACCCUGUCUCUACAGAAAAAUUAGCCAGGCAUAUUGGUGUGAGUCUGUAGUCCCAACUACUACUCCCAAAGCUGAGGAAUAAGGAUUGUUUUAGCCUAGGAGUUCAAGGUUACAGUGAACUAUAAUUGUACCACUGUACUCCAGCCUGGGAGACAGCAAAACCCGGUUUGUGUGUGUGUGUGUGUGUGUGUGUGUGUGUGUGUGUGUGUGUGUGUGUGUCGAGAACCAAAGCUCCUUCUCUCCCUGCCAUGUGAGGACACAGUGAGAAGGUGGCUGACUGCAAGCCAGGAAGAGGGUCCUCAUGAGGAAAUGAAUUGACUGGCACCUUGAUCUUGUGGCACCUUGAUCUUGGACUUCCCAGCCUCUAUAACUGUGAGAAAUAAAUGUCUGUUGUUUUAGCCACCCAGUCUGUGGUAUUUUGUUAUGACAAGCUCAGCUGACUAAGUAAUUAAUACCAAGAAGCGGUUUGCUGCUGUAACAAAUAACUAAAAGUGUGGAAGCAGCUUUGGAACUGGGUAGUGGGUAGAGGCUGAAAGAGUUUUGUUUUUAGAGAUAGGGUCUGCCAGGUGCGGGGGCUCACGCCUGUAAUCCCAGCAUUUUGGGGGGCCGAGGCGGGUGAAUCACGAGGUCAGGAGUUCGAGACCAGCCUGGCCAACAUGGUGAAACCCUGUCUCUACUAAAAAUACCAAAAAAUUAGCUGGGCAUAGUGGUAGGCACCUGUAAUCCCAGUUACUUGGGAGGCU